AUUGAACGCUGGCGGCAGGCCUAACACAUGCAAGUCGAACGAGUGGCGGACGGGUGAGUAAUGUCUGGGAAACUGCCCGAUGGAGGGGGAUAACUACUGGAAACGGUAGCUAAUACCGCAUACCAUCGGAUGUGCCCAGAUGGGAUUAGCUUGUAGGUGAGGUAAAGGCUCACCUAGGCGACGAUCCCUAGCUGGGCUGAGAGGAUGACCAGCGAAACUGGAACUGAUACAGGGUCGGGACGCCUCCGGCAGGCAGCAUUGGGGAAUAUGGCAAAAUGGGCGCUGGCCUGAUGAAGCCAUGCGGGGGGUAGGAAGAAGGCGUGCGGGUUGUAUAGUACUGUCCGCGUGUAGGCGUUACCCGUAGAAGUAGCACCGGCUAACUCCGUGCCAGCAUCCGCGCUAAUUC
RNAcentral lists this ribosomal RNA (406 nucleotides) under uncultured bacterium. RNAcentral's name for it is "partial 16S ribosomal RNA". It matches the Rfam family "Bacterial small subunit ribosomal RNA", at positions 30 to 526 of the family's 1533-position model. The record is from RNAcentral.